RNAcentral lists this ribosomal RNA (468 nucleotides) under uncultured bacterium. Its description in RNAcentral is "bacterial SSU rRNA". It matches the Rfam family "Bacterial small subunit ribosomal RNA", at positions 24 to 518 of the family's 1533-position model. The record is from RNAcentral.
UCAGGAUGAACGCUGGCGGCGUGCCUAACACAUGCAAGUCGAGCGAUUCUCUUCGGAGAAGAGCGGCGGACGGGUGAGUAACGCGUGGGUAACCUGCCCUGUACACACGGAUAACAUACCGAAAGGUAUGCUAAUACGGGAUAAUAUGCUUUAGUCGCAUGGCUGAAGUAUCAAAGCUCCGGCGGUACAGGAUGGACCCGCGUCUGAUUAGCUAGUUGGUGAGGUAAUGGCUCACCAAGGCGACGAUCAGUAGCCGACCUGAGAGGGUGAUCGGCCACAUUGGAACUGAGACACGGUCCAAACUCCUACGGGAGGCAGCAGUGGGGAAUAUUGCACAAUGGGCGAAAGCCUGAUGCAAGCAACGCCGCGUGAGCGAUGAAGGCCUUCGGGUCGUAAAGCUCUGUCCUCAAGGAAGAUAAUGACGGUACUUGAGGAGGAAGCCCCGGCUAACUACGUGCCAGCAGCGGC